UUUGCCAUGUUAGCCCGGCUGGUCUUGAACUCCUGACCUCAGGUGGUCCACCCACCUUGGCCUCCUAAAUUUGGAAUAACAUCUUAAAAUGAAGAGCAGAGAUUUUGGAAAAUAAUUAGUUCUUCCGAGAUAUAUACCUGCUAUUACUCUUUAGACUCAACGGAGAAGAGUUACUGAAACUGACAGCCUAGAGAAACUGACAGCCUACCUCACUUCACCCCCAACCUUUGAAGAGGGAAGUCAAUAAUACAAAUGGAGAGCCCAUUGCAAUUUGCUAGACUGCAGUGCUCGGUGUUGAGAGACCCAGAUAGAGGCAAGCCUUGAAAACUGCUGACUGAUGCAAAAACAACUGGAAACUGAAGAUACAAAAAUUAUGUAAGAAAGAAUAAUGAAUUGCUCGUUUUCUUUUUCUAGGAUAAAUUAAUGCUGGAAGAACACAGAAUUUUAGAGCUCUUGAAUGUACGUUCUAGCAUAGUGCAAAUGAAUGUUAGACAUGACACUAAGGAUAAUACUGAUUAAAGGCUUUGCACAUCAGUGAUAGAGUUAUGAUCUAGAUUAGUGGCUUUCAAAGUUUUCUGAACACUAGGUAUGUCCCCUUAGAUAGAUGCAUAUACAUAUAAGUGAAAAGAACAUGAUUAUAGAGGGUUUCUCCCAAGUGGAGACAUUUUUUAGAUUGAUUUCAACAUUUCAAAUAAACUCAUGAUCACACUCAUCCAGUUGCUCUGUGAUAGUUAUUUUUCCUUCUCUUUUACUAUUUUAACUUAAAAAUAGGUUGGUUUCAAUCCAUUAAAUUGAUUUUAUGACUCACUAAUAGGUUGUAAAAACCUGUUAGUGAGUCAUAACUUUCAUAAGUUUGAAAAUCACUGUAGUAGAGCCACCAAAAGCAUAAGAAACUAAGUUGAUACAAAUGUUUGGUUUUGUUUAUUUUUUCCUUAAAGCAGUGCUUACUAAACACCUUGAGAGUACUUAGUCAUUCAGUCUUCCUUGGCUUAUUUAGUUAAUAUGUGGUAAUCAUUGAUAAGCACACCUGUGGGAGGCAGGAUUCUAAGAUGACCCCCAAGAUUUCCCAUCCCCUCCCCUGACUGAUGUUCAUACUUUGCAAAAAUCUCUGGAAUGAUGAAUUGGAUUUUUACUUUGGUGGUAAAAAUAAAAGAUUAUGUUAAUGGAAUAGUUGAUGCUAAGAUAAGGAGAUUUAUCUAGUGGCCUGAACAAGAAAGGAAAUAAGAACCGAAGGGAAUCACAUAACACAUUUAAAAGCAGAGAGUUUUCUCUGGCUAGUGGCAGAAGAAAAAGUCAGAGAUUCAAAGCAUGAGAAGAAUUUGAUGCUCCAUUACUGACUUGAAGAUGGUGGGUACCACAAGGCAAGGAACAUGGGCCUUCUCUGAGAGCAGCUCUGACUGAUAGCCAGCAAGGAAACAGGGACCUCAGUCUUACAAAGCCAAGGAAUUAAAUUCUGUCAAAAAAUGAGAAUAAGCUUAAAAAUAGACUUUGUCGUAUAACUUCAGGCAAAAAACCUUGUCUAACACAUUGGUUUUAACCUUGUGAGUCCUUAGCUGAGAAUCCAGUCGGGCUACAUCAGACUUCUGACCUACAGAACUGUGAGCUAGUACAUUUAUGGUGGUAUAUGCUACAAGUUUGUGGUAGUUUGUUUUGAAGCAAUAGAAAAUUAAUAUACUGACAAAAGUACUUUGUCAUUCUUGAUCGUAAAACAUUCUGUUUAGCACAUUCUCCCUACAAGGCAAGAAAGUAUUGAAUACAUUAUUGAAUAUUAUAAAGACCAGUAUUAAACAAGGAAGAUUUUCUUUAUUCUUCAAUCAUUCUGCUUAAUUGAGGGGUUGCUUUGUGAAUAUUUCUGUCAAUAAUAAUUUUUUCCAUUUAAAAAACAUGCCUCAGAAGAUUUAAAUGGCAAAUUUAUACACUAGAUACUGGCCUGAGUUUAUACGUGAAGAUGAAAUACAUAAAGAGUAGAAACUUGCUUAAUGUGGCAAACCUACAAAAUGUUGGAACUGGCUAGAUCACAGAUAUUGGAUUAAUUUAUUCUUUGAUGCAUACACUUACUCAAUACUAUUUAUCAUAAGAAACAUUGUUCUAGGUCCACAGAAUAUUGUGGUGGUCAAAACAGAAAAAGCACUUCUCUAAUGAGGCUUAUAUUCAUGUUUGGACAUUAUAAAAU
Molecule: long non-coding RNA, 2173 nt
Organism: Homo sapiens (human)
Lineage: Eukaryota; Metazoa; Chordata; Mammalia; Primates; Hominidae
Exons: 3
Source: RefSeq, a predicted model, not a curated record